AUGCCGCCGCGCCGCCGAGGAGUGUCCAGCUACCGCGACGUCCGCCCGUGCCUCAAUGGCGGCUACUACGCGGAGAUACGCUCCGGCGAUCUCCGGCUCGGCCUCGGCACAUACGGGACGGCGCGCGAGGCCGGCCGCGCGUACAACGCGGCGGCGUGGCGUCUAGGCCGGCCGCGCGGCCAGAUGAACUUUCAGGAUGUCUACACGCUCCAGCAAGCGCUCGACCGUGCGCCGCCGCCGCGUCUGAACACGGCACAAGACCGUGCGGAGCACGCCGAGCGGCAGCGCCGCCUCCUCGUCGCCCAGGAGGACGAGCAGGUCAUGGCGGAGUGGCGGCGCCGCCACCCGGGGGACGUCGCCUACGAGCAGUCCUACUGGGCAAGGCAUCACGAGGAGGACACGCGAAGGCGCCGUGAGGCGCGGUUGGACAUGCGUCGACGCAAGGCGUUGGCGAACGCGCAGUUCGAUCUCGUUGAAGCAGGUGGGCAGUCGUUCUUCACACCGGAUGAUGAUCGGUGGUUGGACAUCUGGCUGGAUACCUCGGACGACACCGCCGAGAAGGAUGACGAUAGUGAUGAUAGCGACUUAGACUAG
RNAcentral lists this ribosomal RNA (594 nucleotides) under Triticum aestivum (bread wheat). RNAcentral's name for it is "partial small subunit ribosomal RNA". The record is from RNAcentral. Lineage: Eukaryota; Viridiplantae; Streptophyta; Magnoliopsida; Poales; Poaceae.